CUGUAAUGGUGAAAAACCAGAAGCCACCUGAGUUUCCGAUAACAAGAGAAGAGUUACAUAAAUGAGGAGGUGCAGCUGUGCCAUUCUAAGCAGGGCCUGCAGACACUGGUGAGGCGGGAAGUGCUGCUGCUGGGAGGUUUGCUGAAGGCAGGACACGAAACCCAGUGGCCGAGACAGCCUGGAGCUGGCAGGACGGUGGCAGUGGUGGGACUGUGAGCAUGUCCUCUUCUACUCAGAAGCCCAUCACUGUAGCCUUCAUGGUGUCUGUGUGCCUGCACUGCAGACUGGAAGUAGAUCCCUAAUGUGUGAUCCAUGUGUACAGGCUGCCUGUAGGCUGCAGCAGCCCGAGGGUCAGGCAGACUUGAAGCAAGGAAGCCAUUCCUCAGCCGGCCUCUGAGAUGGCCCGAUGGGCAGAGCUACCCUGGGGCAGCUGCCAUGGAC
This 441-nucleotide long non-coding RNA is filed under the name Homo sapiens (human). RNAcentral describes it as "long non-coding RNA NONHSAT187217". Lineage: Eukaryota; Metazoa; Chordata; Mammalia; Primates; Hominidae. The record is from RNAcentral.